UGGGGAAUCUUGCGCAAUGGGGGAAACCUUGACGCAGCAACGCCGCGUGGGUGAUGAAGGCCUUCGGGUCGUAAAGCCCUGUCAGGUGGGAAGAAACGUAUCGGUGUUAAUACCGCCGAUAUUUGACGGUACCACCGGAGGAAGCACCGGCUAACUCCGUGCCAGCAGCCGCGGUAAUACGGAGGGUGCAAGCGUUGUUCGGAAUUACUGGGCGUAAAGCGCGUGUAGGCGGUCGGGCAAGUUAGAUGUGAAAGCCUUCCGCUUAACGGAAGAAGUGCAUUUAAUACUACCCGGCUGGAGUACGGGAGAGGAGAGUGGAAUUCCCGGUGUAGAGGUGAAAUUCGUAGAUAUCGGGAGGAACACCAGUGGCGAAGGCGGCUCUCUGGUCCGAUACUGACGCUGAGACGCGAAAGCGUGGGGAGCAAACAGGAUUAGAUACCCUGGUAGUCCACGCCGUAAACGAUGGGCACUAGGUGUAGGAGGUAUUGACCCCUUCUGUGCCGAAGUUAACGCAUUAAGUGCCCCGCCUGGGGAGUACGACCGCAAGGUUA
Molecule: ribosomal RNA, 551 nt
Filed under: uncultured bacterium
Lineage: Bacteria
Description: bacterial SSU rRNA
Rfam family: Bacterial small subunit ribosomal RNA
Source: RNAcentral